Molecule: long non-coding RNA, 526 nt
Organism: Tachyglossus aculeatus (Australian echidna)
Lineage: Eukaryota; Metazoa; Chordata; Mammalia; Monotremata; Tachyglossidae
Exons: 3
Source: RefSeq, a predicted model, not a curated record
GAUAGCCUAACUGGAGUGGAGAAAAGAGAGAAUAGCUUCAUAAAUAGUCUAACUUGCUCCAUGCAAAAAUCUACCUCUGCAUCUCCUAAGGCCCCAGCCCAGGUCUUUAGGGCUUGGGCUGUUGGGGAAAGAGAGAGAGAGAGAGAGAUUAGAGGUAGAAAUGGGGUGAAGAGCUUCAUGCUAAUUCCCCCUAAGAAUCCCUGAAAGAGUUUUCACUCUUAUCCUUCCACUCUGCCUGCUCUGCCAUCUCCACCUGAGACAAAGUCAUCGAACCACUCUGUGCUGCUUAAGCAGAUCCUGCCUCCCAAGAGGUGCACUUGUUUAGUGUGGAAAUAGUGGAGAAAGAAAGAGGGCCAGCCAGCACCACUCAAGAAAGGCUCCAUAGGAUGUUCAACUCUAGAGGAAUAGAGGAUGAAGAACAAUCAGAUGACUGUUGGGUUUGGAGGGAAAAAAAUCCAGCUACUAGUUAAGAGGAAACGGUGCUGGAUCCAAGGCUCAGUCUCGAGCCUUCUGGUCCAGGAUUUUG